UACGAAGGGUGCAAACGUUGCUCGGAAUUAUUGGGCGUAAAGCGCACGUAGGCGGCUUUGUAAGUUGGAUGUGAAAGCCCUCGGCUCAACCAAGGAAGUGCAUCCAAAACUACAGAGCUUGAGUACUUAAGAGGAUCGCGGAAUUCCCGGUGUAGAGGUGAAAUUCGUAGAUAUUCGCAAGAACACCAGUGGCGAAGGCGGCUCACUGGCCCGGUACUGACGCUGAGGUGCGAAAGCGUGGGGAGCAAACGGG
RNAcentral lists this ribosomal RNA (253 nucleotides) under uncultured bacterium. RNAcentral's name for it is "partial 16S ribosomal RNA". It matches the Rfam family "Bacterial small subunit ribosomal RNA", at positions 524 to 776 of the family's 1533-position model. The record is from RNAcentral.